Long non-coding RNA from Oreochromis aureus, 5140 nucleotides. Lineage: Eukaryota; Metazoa; Chordata; Actinopteri; Cichliformes; Cichlidae. The record is from Ensembl.
AUUUUUAACAUAGAGUGAACACUCUGUUAUCAUCUCUGCACAUUGUCAACAGCUUACCAACAAAUAACUCUAAGGAUGUGGAAAAUAAAUUUAAUGAAGUUAGGAUAAGUUAAUGCAUUUCACUAGAAAUACAUUAACUCUUCUGGUUCACGUUUGUAAAGGGAUUGAUUUACAGGGAGGUUUGUUGUCAAAAGGAUUUCCAACAUCAAAGAGGCAGAGGAGGAGGAAACCAUUAACAUCAGUUUGGACAGUCAGAUCCAAAUGGACAUCUCUCUCAUCAACUGGAUUUUUUAUUUUACCAGUUGGAUAAAAUGUUAUAUAACUACACACAGUCUGCAGGACGGGUUCAGUGUGAUAGAGACACUCUGGGAGGAAGAAGAGUCAGACUUCAUCUGCACAGAGUCACAGCUCAAGACUCUGGAAAAUGCCCGCUCCUUAAACCAUUAGGAAAACAAAUGGUCGAGCAGAUAAGACUUUUUCCAUUGCUUUUUUCUUGGUGGGGUAGUUAAAGGGUUAACUGCUUACUGUCUGCACUCAUAAACAAAGGUUUACCAUCUUGUCUAUGACAUUAUCUACAGAUGAGUCGGAAGGGAAAAAAAUACUAUGUGCAGUUCUUAAGCCUGAGAAUAUACUUCACAGCUUUCGCAAGUAUUUGUUGACUUUAGCGCUGCAAAAUGUCACAGUUUUGUUUCAUAUUAUCUGUGAUGGCUAACUAAGACAGAGUACAUCCUGGACAGCUCACUAGUUCCCACACGGCUGGCACUUUUCCGCCAGCCGAACGCACAAACACCAACAGCAACAAUAACCAGGACCCAGUGCAGACUUUUUAUGUCGGUGAGGCGUGAUUGCGGAUGCCGUGCAGGUGCAUCCACCUCCCCUGCAGCAGCACCGCAGACCACGCCCCCCCCCACAGGCAUAAAGCUCAACACUAGGAUGGAAUCAGCAUCAAUUCAGCUAAACCCAAGAAAAUUGUUCAAGCAAAAAAAUUGUAACGUCAGCUACAUAUCAGUGAAUCAGAACAAAGACAGCAGCCACAGUCCACCUGAUGAGCAUGUAGCACUUCAAUCUAGUGACAUCCUAUAAUGACACAAUAAAAGCAGUAAAUCACCAAAUGUGUCCAAGCCUUUCAUUUCAUAAUAAGAGUGACAGGAAAUAUAAUGAAUGUCAGCUCACUGUUUAGAUUUAAAACAUUAAGAGACCACAGUGCUACCACUGAAAGUCAUGAGGAUCUGAACUGUAAUCAAACACGUCUGAACUCUCUGCUGUUCAAACCACGAGGGCGUGUCAGCACCUGGAGUCAAAGCAUAAAAAUCCACAGAGGUCACACAGAAGAAAGUGAGCCGCAGACUGAAGCAUGGUGGUGAUCAGCUGUUGGGAGAAGAUGAUCUGCAGGAUCCUGCUGCUCAUCAUCCUCACCUCAUGUGUCUCUGGAUCAUUUGUAGUCAAUGUGACACAGACCUCCUAUCAGGCAGAGGAGAACCACAACAUCACACUGGAGUGGACGUUCACCACCAAACCUGACAGAUCCACAAACUCUGCUUCCAUCAUGUGUCAACACAUGACUAAUUAUAAAACCUUUGGUGUUGAGGUGUCAGCAUCUUCAACUGUCCAGACUCAGGACUGAUGACUCUGGUCUGUACCUGUGUGAGGUGAACACUGAUCAUGGUGCUGGUAAUGAGAGCAGUCACCUCAGCGUCACACGUAAAUUACUAAGGAGUAUUUGUUUUAUUUUUAUUUUUUUCCUUUUUUCUUCUUUAAAUAUGAUUUCACCACUGAGGAUAUUAAGGGCAUUACUGCCUUUCAUAACAGAUGCAUAAUAUAUUUUUUAAUAGCAACACAUAUCUCUGUUUUACAACAGCAGCUGAUCAACCUCAGAGACCGACACUGAGUCCUCCAGAGAGCUGGAGAAGCAUGAGCUUGUACGUUGGACCGGGGCUGGGAGUAGCUGCUGUAGUUUCCGUGAUUAUUGGAAAGGAGAAAAAGCCACGAAACCCAGCAGGGAGUGCCUCAGAGAGACAACCCAUCAGGACUAAGGGGACUUUUUCUGAAGGACCUGCUUCCUAUGAGGACACAUCAUUUCAGAUGUACUUAUAGACAUGAACCUCUCUCCCAAAAACAUCUGUUUGAAAUGUCAGACAGCAAUUUAUGAUCUAAAACAGAAAACUGUAGUUUUUCUGUUUCAUUAUGUUUGUGCCACACUUGGUUUGACUGUUAUAUAACUCCAGCUGUUUCCCCUGAUGUGUAAAGAAAGAAACGAUGAUCAAACAUUUACUGUUUUAUUAUAAAUUUCAUUACAUCUUUGACAUUCUCAUUUAAUCCCCAUAUUACUGUUUUAAGUAAUGGUAAUGUUAAACUUGUUUUGAAUCCCACUCUAUCUUGUUUUGAGAGAUCAAGGAAUUCUUUCAUGUCCUAACUGACAUGGAUAUGGUUUGGUUAGUGUUGCUUUUUCAUUUUGUUUGAUAUUUAUUGUGUUGCUUAGGGUGUUUUACUGAAGCAGUUUGCAACAUUGGUUUCAAUAAGUGCCAUAAAAUAAUAAUAAUGUUAAUGAUAAUGAUAAUAAUAACAAUAAUAAUAACAACAACAAUAAUAAUAAUAAUGAUAAUAUAUUUGAUUGGAUACAGUGAAGUGGUGAGCUUAUAGCACCAUCAUCUGGCCAAGAGGGUGAAUUUCACUUAGUUCCAUAAGUGGAGGAAAAUACUUAUUUUCAUGGAUAUUUUUCUUUCCCCAUAAAAGCAAAUCAAUCCAUGCCUAAAUUAUUUUGAUGAAGUUCUUGUUGCUGUUAUGCUCCUCCUCUAUAGUGCAUAAAGAACUGUAUGUUGUAUCUUCAUGCAGGAACAACAUCUCAUAUUGAUCUCAGAAUCUAUUUCCAGACAUGAUUUGUGUCCUGCAGGCAGCGUCUUGAAAUCUCAGUGUAGUUCAAAAUUUAGACUGGAUUUAAAACAAGAAGAAAGCAUUGAGCAUGAGACAUGAAAUUCGUCCAGUUCACGAACUCCAGCUCAAAGAAAUCGAGUUCAUCAGCCUGUGUGUGUUGAUUUGAGAAAGAAAUGAAAUAAAAGCAGCAGCAGCAGUUUAGUUUGAGUUUGUCGAAACCACAAGUUACAGAAACCUGCAGCAGAAUUUUAGACAAUGAAAAAUCGAACCAUCUGCUCAGCUCAUGCCUUUCUCUAUGGAAUGUGCAUGUACCAAAGUCUAAUAACAACUGUUGUAUGUGCAUAAAGAAAGGACUAUUUUCUUACUGCAUGUUUGUUAUUGCAAAUCCUGUAAACCACGUCAUUAAUAAAGUUUAUUGUUGUUUGUAAAAACAAAAGGGUCGUGACAGUGUGCUCCUUAAAGGAACACAUACACUUUGAGGAAACAGGAAGCAAAUGAGGUGUGUUAUCUGCCGUAACAAAGUCCAGUCCCUACUGUCAGGAUUAAAUAACAGCACAUUUCCUUCUUUGGUCUUGUUGACUCCAGGCACUUGUUAAAGUUUAACCACUGAAUACAGCUGAUGGGAAAACAGCGUAUUUAUAGGCUAAAUCCUCUGGUGGAUUAAAGGCUGUACAAACUGAAGAGAGCAGAAGUUGUUUUUUGUUUUUUUUAAAGUUCCCAUUUGGUGGCAGGAUGAGUCCAGCUUAGAAAUACAGGACACACAUGGGAGCAUAACCUACAUCAUCAUCCUUUCUGCAGUGAUACAUGAGCACAUAAUAAGCACUUCAUAUCACAAUGAGGCUUUCUGGUACUUCAAACAGACAUUAUGCUGUCUUGGAUUCUUGAACUUCAGGUUUUCUGCCUGAUGCUCUGACGGCUCGUCCGUAUAGAAAUGGCUCCCAUGGCUCCCUCUUAGCCCUGCUUUUAGUUUCUCUUAGUGCAAAUUGACACCACAAAGCUCCUGUUAAACAUUUAAAUAAAAUUUUUGUAUCUUCUCAGCCGAGUAUGACAUCUUAAGGCACAGAAACGAUUAACCAGUAAAACUGCAAGGCCAAGUAAAGCUGUCAGUUCCAGUCCCAGUGCAGUGUAGAGGACCGUCCUCUGCAUCCAGGUGUGUGCUGAUGGAACAGCAGCUGCUGCAAAGGAGAGAAAAAUGAAGAGAGAAUAUUUUGAUAUCAUUGGUAGCUGUUGGCAGCUCCUGUUCUGAAACAUCAUAAAGAAACAACAAAAAACUUUGAUAACAAUUGGAGCAUAAAGAACUCGAUGAACAAUAAGAUUACUGACAGGCCCUGCUGCUCUCUUAUAUAGCAGAAUUGAUAAAUAUGAAGUUAAAGGGAACCAAGUAGUCAACUGUAUAUCAGUACAGUGACAUAUAACCCCUUUAACCUUGGGUGUUGAACUCCAGGCCUCUGGAGAACUGCAAGACAUGUUGAGGAGGUAAUUUAGCCAUUUGAAUCAGCUGUGUUGGGUCAAGGACACAUCUAAAACCUGCAGGACACUGACUCUUGAGGCCUGGAGUUCAACACCUGUGCCUUAAACAUUGGAAAUUAUCAUUUCUACUCUUUAGUCCAGCUUAAAAAAAAGCAAAAAACCUUUAAAGGUUCUGACAUGCAGACACAGUAUCCUUCAGGCAGAAAAAAAUACAGCUAUUUGCAGACUUUAUGCUUUGAGCAUUUGUAUUACUUCGAUCUUUAAGGCAAAGGCAGGAGGAAGUUCAUCUCAUUUUGAAUCUUUAUAAAAACAAUUUGUACUGUUUUUAUAUAUUUAUGCUGUUAUUCAAAUGUAUAUUUAGCAUAAAAACAGAUCCUAUUAUGUUUUUUUUAGGAAAACAAAUAUUCUUUGUUGGUUUCUGAAUGUCUGAAUGGAGAACUGCUUUAACUUUCUUACCGUGUAUGCUGAGUCGACAAUAAUCAAAGCCAUAAUCAUACUCGGUUUUCACCUCACACAGGUACAGACCCGAGUCAUCAGUCCUGAGUCUGGACAGUUGAAGUCUGAUUCGUCCUUCUCUGAGGGCGUCUUUGUCACUCUGGACUCGUCCUGAAAACUUUUCAUCCUGAGACUCUGACACCUCAACAUCAUUGGACACAUGAUAGAAGCCAAAGGUUUUAUAAUUAGUCAUCUGUUGGCAGAUGAUGGAAGCAGAGUUUGUGGAGUUGUCAGGGUUGGUGGUGAACGUCCACUCCAGUGUGAUGUUGUGGUUCUCCUCUGCCUGAUAGGAGGUCUGUGUCAC